Artibeus jamaicensis (Jamaican fruit-eating bat) is the source of this 6712-nucleotide RNA transcript. It is a transcript of the gene named mitoguardin 2, with no coding region annotated. NCBI's taxonomy places the organism in Eukaryota, Metazoa, Chordata, Mammalia, Chiroptera, Phyllostomidae. The record is from RefSeq and is a predicted model, not a curated record. The transcript is spliced from 17 exons.
AAGGGCUCGGGUUGGAAUGAGCAGCUCGGCGGAGGGACCCUCUGGUACGCGCAAGCGUGUCUUCCCCGGCUGUGGACGGUGCCUGGGACCCAGCCAGCAACCAGCUGAAGACAUUCUCCUUGGAAACACUUGGCCCCAGGGGCUCCUGCCCGGGGCGUUGUUCCUGCCAUGGCGUUCCGAAGGGCGGAGGGCAUGUCCAUGAUCCAGGCCCUGGCCAUGACGGUGGCUGAGAUCCCUGUGUUCCUGUACACGACGUUUGGGCAGUCUGCGUUCUCCCAGCUGCGGUUGACACCAGGCCUGCGGAAGGUCCUCUUCGCCACGGCCCUGGGGACCGUGGCCUUGGCCCUGGCCGCCCACCAGCUGAAGAGGCGAAGGCGGAGGAAGAAGCAGGUUGGCCCUGAGGUGGGAGGCGAGCAUCUGGGCACCGUGCCGCUUCCCGUCCUCAUGGCCAGGAAGGUCCCAUCGGUGAAGAAAGGCUACUCCAGCCGGAGGGUGCAGAGCCCCAGCAGCAAGAGCAACGACACCCUGAGCGGCAUCUCCUCCAUCGAGCCCAGCAAGCACUCGGGCUCCUCCCACAGCUUGGCCUCGAUGGUGGUGGUGAACUCAUCCAGCCCCACGGCUGCGUGCUCGGGACCGUGGGACGCCAGGGGGGUGGAGGAGUCUGCGACCACCAGCAACGGCAAUGCGGAGAGUCUCUACAUGCAAGGCAUGGAGCUGUUCGAGGAGGCUCUGCAGAAAUGGGAGCAGGCGCUGAGCGUGGGGCAGCGGGGGGACACUGGCAGCACCCCCACACUGGGGGACAGCCUCCGGAACCCCGAGACCGCUUCAGAGGCACUGUCCGAGCCAGAAUCGCAGCGGAGGGAGUUUGCGGAGAAGCUGGAGUCCCUGCUGCACCGAGCCUACCACCUGCAGGAGGAGUUUGGGCCCGCCUUCCCGUCCGACAGCGUGCUGCUGGAUCUGGAGCGGACCCUCAUGCUGCCCCUGACUGAGGGCUCACUGCACCUGCGGGCAGACGACGAGGACAGCCUGACCUCGGAGGACUCCUUCUUCUCUGCCACCGAGCUCUUUGAGUCCCUGCAGGCUGGCGAUUACCUGGUUCCGCUCUCCAGGCCCGCUGCCGCCUACGAGGAGGCCCUGCAGCUGGUGAAGGAGGGGAAGGUGCUCUGUCGGACCCUCAGGACGGAGCUGCUGGGCUGCUACAGUGACCAGGACUUCCUGGCCAAGCUGCACUGUGUGCGUCAGGCGUUCGAGGGCCUCCUGGGAGACCGGAGUAACCAGCUUUUCUUCGGGGAGGUCGGCCGGCAGAUGGUGACGGGCCUGAUGACGAAGGCUGAGAAGAGCCCCAAAGGCUUCCUGGAGAGCUACGAGGAGAUGCUGAACUACGCCCUGCGCCCGGAGACCUGGGCUACCACUCGGCUGGAGCUGGAGGGCCGAGGGGUGGUGUGCAUGAGCUUCUUUGACAUCGUGCUGGACUUCAUCCUCAUGGACGCCUUUGAGGACCUGGAGAACCCCCCGUCCUCAGUGCUUGCCGUCCUGAGGAACCGCUGGCUCUCGGACAGCUUCAAGGAGACGGCCCUGGCCACUGCUUGCUGGUCAGUCCUCAAAGCCAAGAGGAGGCUGCUGAUGGUGCCUGAUGGCUUCAUCUCCCAUUUCUACUCCGUAUCGGAGCACGUUAGCCCAGUCUUGGCCUUCGGCUUCCUUGGGCCCAAGCCCCAGCUCGCCGAGGUCUGUGCUUUCUUUAAGGACCAGAUCGUGCAGUACCUGCGGGACAUGUUUGACCUGGACAACGUGCGCUACACCUCGGUGCCAGCGCUGACGCACGACAUCCUGCAGCUGUCCCGGCGCCGCAGCGAGAUCCUGCUCGGCUACCUGGGGACGUCGGUGACCAGCAGCGUUGGCCUGAAUGGUGUGCUACCCCGAGACAACGGUCCCCUGGAGGAGCUGCAGUAGUGGCUGGAGCAGGCUGGGGAGGGGUGGCUGCCGGAGCCUUGUCCACAUGGGUGGUGGCAGAGAGAAGGUGUCUCCUUCGUCCUUUGGGUUGGCACCCGGAGCCUGCCUUCUAUGGCCCUUGGCAGCAGCAGAGCCCUGGCUGUGGUGACCAUGGGCAGUUGCCCCUGACCUUGCCCUGCCCCCAUCACCUGGGAAUCCCUAAGGCCUGGGGGCAAACUUCCUUGGAGAGGGAUGGAGCCCCUAGAGGCCCCACUGACUGCCCUUGGUUGUCCCUGGGGAAGCAGAGGCUGGACCAGCAGCCAGUGGGGCCUGCGGGAGGAGAAGGUAGUGAGAGGGAGAGGGAGGGAGGGAGGAAGGUGUUGUGAGGAGAAUCGGGGCCGGCAGAGCUGGGGUGCCCUGGGUGUGGGACCCCCAAGAGCUCCCCCCACCCAGGGCUACCGACAGCUGAGCCGGGAGGGUGGUGGAGAAAGGUGGGGACGGCAGGGCUUUAUGGUCAAGAUCGCUGGUGUCUUAAGCCAGCAGGAACCUGGGCUGAAGGUUUCAGAAUCCAGGCACGUGGCUGGCCAUUCGCAAUAAUCACGCCGCCACACUACAGAGUUUGCGGCUCCAGAGGGGGAGCGUGCGGGCCUCAGACCGGGAGAGUGGGACUGUGGGCAUCCUUGGUAGCAACGUGCUUGGAGCAUCCGGAGUGGGGACAGAACGGGGCCUGCCCCCCUUGUGCUCACAUCUGGGCAGGGAGCGGGUCCUGGACAGAUCCAAGCACCAGACCAGGACACCGUCCUCUGACACUCCCUCUGCCUGCCAAAGCCUGUCAUUUCUCCUCUCACUUCUGCCACCACCAAAGACAGGAGGUGGGGCUGGUCCUCCCGCCCCUACCCACCUCCCUCGGGGAGCCCUGGACUCCCUGGGCGGUGCCAGGCAUGGAGCUGGAGGCUCUGACCCAGCCCAUCACCUGUGCUGCCAUUGUUGGUGGCCCGAGGAGCAAGGGGCCCAGGGACCACACUGGGGGCAGUCGGGGGGUGUGCAGGGCUGGGCCAGCUCACGCCCUCCCCAGGACAAGAACCUGCACGGCACCUAGCCUCCAGCCAGGUGUGCAAUUGCUCUCCAGUCAGGCAGCAGUGUGGGGCCCGCCUCCCCGCUGGCCUUCAGAGAAAGGUGGUCAGCACGUGUUCCCAUGUCAUUUGUCCCCACUUUCUCUCUGCCCUGCAGACUCACUUCCCUUAGGGUGUUUUUACCUGAGCUGGGAUGUUUUAUUUAUUGCCUUAACACUUUAUUUUGAGGUUCUGCCCCUGUCCAGGUUGAGAGGUGCUCGAGAGAAAUACUGUUCUCCUGGUUCUCCAUUCUCUGGAUUUGGGGGACUGGCUCCCCUCUCCCCUGAAUGGCAAAGGGGCCCCAAGAGGGGGUGAUCUUGCCCAUUUAGUUCCAGAGGGAGGGGAGAUGGGGGCGGGAGAUGUUGGUCAUGAUCUGCCCUCUGUGAGUCCAGUUUCCUCCUAAAAUCUGCCCCCCACGUGCCCGCAUCUACCCCCACUGCCCCGUACUCCCCAGACUGGGGGGCUGCUGCGCACUAACCUCGGUCUGGCUCCGAACCCAGCAGCUUCCUGGGAGGGGAGGCCCGGGUGGUGCUCCUCCAUCCCAACAUUCCGUUCAUUUGCACUUAACCUGCGCUGUGAAUGUAAUCUCGGGCUUGGGCCUGGGCCUGGGCCCGGCCCACGCUGAUUUGCUCCUAAAUCACAGAGGUGGCAUUUUCAUUUUGUCUGUUUACACAUCCAUGCACUGCCCCUGGCACUCGGUCUGUUGCGGCUUCCGACUUUUGUACGGUAGAGCAUCUGUGCAUUGACUUCGAGUCGAAUAAACGAUUUAAGGGAUUUCUCCCCCAGUUGCCAUGCCACUGGGUACACAUGUGGCCCUUUACUUCCUGGGCCAGGGCUGGGACCCUCUUUGGGGUGCAGUUGGUAGGGGUUCCAGGAGGGCAAGGGUUGAGGGCAGCCUGGCGGAGGCUUCGAGUCCUGGGACCACUAAGCCUGGCAGGGUUCGCACGUCCCUAGGCCAGGAGGGCCCGUGUCGGGGAGGAGAAGGAGUGGCCAGUGAAGUGCUUGGGGGCACCGAUGUGGGUGGGCAGCCUGGGUGUGGACCAGCUCAGGCAGAUCUCGUGGGGUGGCUACUCCUGAGCCUGUGCCCACAUCUGCAGGAUGCGGGUGUCGGAGGAGACCAGGGGCAAAGACGCAGGCGCCAUCAGUCACCACCUGACCUGGUGAGAGCCAGGGUGUGGGACUGGGACAAGUGGGAGCGGCAGGUAGGAGCCCACCCUGACCUUCGGCUGUGUUCAAGGGUGGUCAGCACAAGCUUCAUUUGAAGGGUGCUUAGAAAAAGAAGAAAAAAAUUUGGGAAAUGUUCAAAGGUACUGAAAAGUUAAAAAGAAAACUAUGUACAGCCUACCCAUAAAAUCAACAUCUGGUUAGUAAUUAACAUCUUGCCAUUUCUUUUAAAAAUAUAUUUUAGAGAAGUUUCAGACAUGUGCUUUACCUGUAAGCACCUGAACAUAAAGAUAAGGUGGUUCUCUGACAACCAAAAUACCGUAAUCACACCUCGAAAAUGUGUCAGUCAUCCUCUGGUAUCUGCUGGGACUCGGAAAAGAAGUUUCCUAUCAACCAGUGGACUCAAGUUCCACCUGAAAAGGAGACUGUGUGACCCCCUUUGCCAGUUUCAGAGACGUCGUCCGAUACUGUCGCCUCCAACGCUGGCAGAACAACACGAUGUCCCCAGAAGCCCAAGCCCGGAGACCAGAGCUGGGAAGGCCCGGAGGGAACCCUGGCCCACUUCCGUGGCAGGCAGGGGACUGCCUAGGAAUCCACACUGAGAUUCCCGAGGGGAACGGAGGAACCUCUAACUAGGAGGCCGCGGCUGACACAGUUUGGGCAGAGAGGCCCAGAGAGCGGAAGUGCUGGAGUGCGAACCACUGGUAGACUUGGUGCUUUUGGUUUCAGGGCUGCCCUGUGACCUCUGCCAGAGGAGAGGCCACAGGGAAAGGCCGGUCCUACUGGGGACAGCUGGGGACUGGAAAAGCCUGGUUCUCGGGGCUUGUCCGAGGACUCCUAGGGAGCAGGCCAGUGACUUCCGCAGGCUCCUGUGGGUCGCUGUGCAGCAGCAUUCACACCCGCACUGCCGAGCCCCUCGUCCACAUGCCCCAUCUGACUUGUCACCUCCACCAUCUCACGGGGUCCUAGGGUCUCUUGGGACCCUGCAGUGGUUCCUAGGCACGUCUCUGUCAGAAAUGCAUCCGUAAGUGCACCAAAGAUACGCACCAGGGUGCUCCUAGCGGUGCUGUUUGUCACACCCCAGACCUGGAUACACCCCAGAUGCCCAUUAGAAGUCAAAUGGAAGCCCUGGCUGGUGUGGCUCCUCGACCCGAUGCUGCCCUGACAACUGAAAGACCGUUGGUUCCAUUCCCAGUUGGGGCACGUGCCUGGGUUGCAGGCCAGGUCCCCACGUGGGGGUAUCCGAGGGUCCCGAUCCAUGGAUCUUCUUGCACAUCAAGGUUUCUCUCCCUUUUUUCUUCCCUCUCUCUCCUUCUCUCUAAAAAUAAGUAAGUAAAAUCUUCAAAGAAAAAGAGUCAAAUGGAAAAUAAACUGUGGUGUACUCAAUACCACAGGGCGUUGAGAGAACAAAUUACAACCAGAGGGCACAGUGUGGAUAAAUCUCUCAAACACAGUUGUAAAAGAAGCCACGUGUGAACAGUACUUAGAGGGUGGAACAAAAGUGGGUUUACAGUUGCUCGUAUGGAAAACCAUUAAUAAGUACGAAUAGCGUACAAGUAUAAAGUGUUUUGCAUGCUCAGAACUGUAAACCCGCUUUUACCCCACCCUGUACUGUAGGAUGUGUAUAGAAAGCAGAAAACCGGCCCAAACUCGCGCCUGGUGUCAGAUGCCCAGGUGGCAGCCGCCCCGGGGGUGAGCAGAUGGAGUGUCAGGGGCGACUGGGGCCCUGGUUCUUGAUCUGGGGACUGCUCCACAAGUUUGUUUUGUUUCUGAAACAUCAUCACAUUCAAUUUCUGGAAUUUCUUGUAUAAAUGUUAUGUUUUAAUUUAAUUUAUUAAUUAGAGGGAGAAAGAAACGUGGAUUCGUCACCCCACUUAUUUAUGCAUAUGUUGGUCACUUCUUGUAUGUGACCUGAAUCUGCAACCUUAGCAUAUUGGGACAACAUUCUAACCAGUACGAUACCUGGCCAGGGCUAUAUUUUAAUUUUAAAAAAAAAGUAAAACCAGACCAAAUGACACUCUCACCUGUCCCGGCUCCCAUCUGUCCUCACCACUAGUAGUGGCCCUUAAAGUUUGGAGGGGCCACGCCCCUGCCACACCUCCACUCUCGCAGCCCCUCACCCCUCACUCUCUCUUGCCCCUUUCACCCAGCCACACUCCUGCCUCAGGACCCUUGGUUCUGCUGUCGCCUCUGCCAGGAAAACCCCGCACUGGAUAACUCCCUCUCUUUCUACAGUUCUUCAUCUUCACCACGGCCCUGGAAUGCUUCCCCUGACAAGAGCACUCUGCAAUCACACAGGCCUGGGCUUGUGUGAUUGAGGCUUUGCCUCCUUAGGCCGGUUUGCUCACCGGUGAAACGGCCACUAACCAGGGAGGAGCAAUGCAGCCAGACCAGGAUGGCUGCCCCGUCCCAGGGGCUGGCUAUUCUGGGAAACUCACAGCCCACUCUUCUUGUACCUCCUGCUUCUUGGAAGCUAAUAAUGGCAGUGCCUGAGGUAGCUGACGACA